RNAcentral lists this long non-coding RNA (1193 nucleotides) under Salmo salar (Atlantic salmon). RNAcentral describes it as "lncRNA (ENSSSAG00000115294.1)". The record is from RNAcentral. Lineage: Eukaryota; Metazoa; Chordata; Actinopteri; Salmoniformes; Salmonidae.
CAGAUGAACAGAGGAGGAGUAGGAUAAGGGUACGGCUAAAAGCUAUGAGAAUUGGUCGUCUAUGACGUCCAGAAUAGAGAGUAAAAGGAGCAUGUUUCUGGGGGCGAUAAAAUAGCUUCAAGGUAUAAUGUACAGACAAAGGUAUGAUAGGAUGUGAAUACAGUGGAGGUAAACCUAGGCAUUGAGUGAUGAUGAGAGAGAUAUUGUCUCUAGAAACAUCAUUGAAACCAGAAGAUGUCAUAGCAUGUGUAGGUGGUGGAACUGAAAGGUUGGAUAAGGUAUAAUGAGCAGGGCUAGAGGCUCUACAGUGAAAUAAGCCAAUAAACACUAACCAGAACAGCAAUGGACAAGGCAUAUUGACAUUAAGGAGAGGCAUGCUUAGCCGAGUGAUCAUAAGGGUCCCGUGAGAUUCAGACAGCUAGCCGGGCCAUAGGUAGCAAGCUGGCAGAAGAUGGAGGGAGGUCUGUUUUUAGCCACCUCGUGCGUUUCCGUCUGUAGAUUAGUGGGGUUCCGUGUGGUAGGGGGGACCAGUCCAAUUGGCAAAAUAGUUACCUGGUACCUCUAAAGGUGGUAUUGAGCCAGACAGACAGCUCCUGGUACCUCUCUGUUUCAGCUGUUAUGGUCAGUCUAGCUGUAUGGAGAUGGUACUGCUCUGUUUCAGCUGUUAUGGUCAGUCUAGCUGUGUGGAGGAGGAGGUACUGCUCUGUUUCAGCUGUUAUGGUCAGUCUAGCUGUAUGGAGCAGAAGGUACUGCUCUGUUUCAGCUGUUAUGCUCAGUCUAGCUGUAUGGAGGAGAAGGUACUGCUCUGUUUCAGCUGUUAUGGUCAGUCUAGCUGUAUGGAGGAGGUACUGCUCUGUUUCAGCUGUUAUGGUCAGUCUAGCUGUAUGGAGGAGGAGGUACUGCUCUGUUUCAGCUGUUAUGGUCAGUCUAGCUGUAUGGAGGAGGAGGUACUGCUCUGUUUCAGCUGUUAUGGUCAGUCUAGCUGUAUGGAGGAGGUACUGCUCUGUUUCAGCUGUUAUGGUCAGUCUAGCUGUAUGGAGGAGGAGGUACUGCUCUGUUUCAGCUGUUAUGGUCAGUCUAGCUGUAUGGAGGAGGUACUGCUCUGUUUCAGCUGUUAUGGUCAGUCUAGCUGUAUGGAGGAGGAGGUACUGCUCUGUUUCAGCUGUUAUGGUCAGUCUAGCUGUAUGGAGGAG